This 1395-nucleotide long non-coding RNA is filed under the name Anneissia japonica. Its description in RNAcentral is "uncharacterized LOC117102755, transcript variant X4". Lineage: Eukaryota; Metazoa; Echinodermata; Crinoidea; Comatulida; Comatulidae. The record is from RNAcentral.
AAGUGUGAGCAAUGAAGGAGGGUGUGGACAGAUAGGACUACAGUAGGCACUAAACAGAAUUCUGUCUAAACGGGCAGUCAUUGACAAAUUAUCAAUUCCUGAUAGAAGUGCGCCAUCGCGGCUUCGAGCAUCCAAGCAUCAAACAUAACAAUGUGUGUUUGCUCAACCUUGGAUGAUGUUGGAGAAAGUAGAAUGGGUGCUUCUAAAAUCGAUGGUUAAUUAACGGCAAAUUAAAUCAAACGCAAAACUGAUAUUGGUAAACCUGUGGACGUGUUCUUGGUAAUUGUGAGGAUGAACAAAGGAACUUGGAGAUACCUGUAAAACAGAAACGGGUACUGUGGCCAGCUUCCUUCGACAGAGACGUGGUAGCUCAGCUAGAUUAAAAUAAAGAGUUGAUAGUUCUCGGUAAUGUUGCAAGGAAUGUCUCGGAGGCACAACCGUAAAGGAUAUGCAACAAGACUAAUCAGUAUAAACAGAUUAAAUACGACACGGAAAUACUGCAGUAAAACAAAUAUUGUGACUGGGACCAGAUGACGGUAAAUGGCUUUUCUUCCAAUAUGAUGGCGGACUCGAUCCUGAUAGCUUGCGAAAUUGGUAUUUAUUGUAUCAAGCACACAACACCGUUUGCCAUUGGAAUAUGUAUUCUAAGCAUAACGUCAUUGUGCAGGAGAUAUCUGAACUUGAUCACAGUGAAAAAAUUCUGUGCUGUCAUAUGCCGUUGCCGAUAUUUCAAGCACUGAAUUAAUUCUUAGCUAAACGAAGAUAGAACUAAGUUAGCUAAAUGAAUAAGCUUACUAUUGGAACAUCUGGUUAACAUUACCUUGCUCGGGUUCAGGCACUGGCAUCAAAGAAAAUUGAAUGAAUAGGCACUGGCACAGGCGUAGUUUCGCUGAUUUGGUGAAAAGAAAAUAAUACAACUCCAACAAGAACUUUGUUCUAAUACGACAUGCACUUGUAAAGAGAACUUAACCAUUUAAAAUUUGAAAUGAAGUAGUGAUAUAAUGCAUCUUGUAAGAUUUGCUUCCAGUAACCAUUUUUACUUAAUUAUUGAUAUUAUAGUUAGUUACCUUCAACACAGAUUUCCAUUGAAAAAUACUAUUUACUUGUAUCACAGAAAGAAAUUAUUGUACAUAAACAUUUAAUGAAAUCGUAUACAUUUUUACAAAUUAGAAUUUAAAAAAAUAUUGUUCACACCGAAUGAUGGCAUAUAAAAGAGGUACAAUAAUCAAAACGAUUGGAUAAAUAUAAAUUUAAAAAAAAACCAUUUGCUUUGUGUAAGCAUUUAAAUUCUCCCGUUUUCAUUGGAUAAGCAAUUAAAAUUCAAUUUUCAUUGGUUAAAAAAUUCAAUACGACAUCUUUUCGAAAGCAGAUCAGAUCAGUUCAUUUAAUUUCAAG